CUUAAUUACCAAUUGUAAUUGGAAAUAAAGCCAUAUCGAAUUUAUGGCCUUAUUACCAAAAAAAUAUGGCCUUAUUGCACCCCACCCUAACGCACGCCAGCGAACUUUUGUUUAAAAUGUGAGUUUUUAUUUAUUUUCUAUAAAAAUUUGCAUAAAGCUUAGUAAAAACUUGCAGCUGCUUUUGGACCUGAUGCAGUCUCAUCCCGAUAUUGCGCGAGGAUUUCAUAAAGGCAGCAAAGACGAGCUUGUGAGAUUUUGGCGUAAGGCGGAAGAAGAACUAAACUGUGCAGGGUCUCCAAGUAAAAACAUAUCGGAGUGGAAAAAGGUGUGGGCAGACCAAAAGAAAUAUGUGCGACAAAAGGCGGCCCAAAUUUAAAAGCGAGCAGAGCAACUGGUGGGGGCCCAAAUUUUGAGCAGAAGUUUUCGGCCAAUGAAGAGGCUAUUUACAGCUUAAUUGGCAUGAAGGUAUGAGUGGAAGGCGUGGCGAACAAAUUCGGGCUGAGCUCCACAAACGACAAUGGUAAAUACCGAAAUCCAGACAUCGAAGACACAGAGGUGGUUGAAGUACCGUUGGUGGAGCGUGAAGUAGAAGUCACCUCAAAUGCGUUGAUAGAAAACUCCGAAGCAACUGACUAUCAAACGCCACCCUCAAAAAAAUCGCAAACAAGUGUUAAAAACAGCAACAGCCAAGUGUCACGCCAAACGCCAACGCAAAAACUUUAUUCUUAUGAUGUCCUCGAGGAAGAGAUUGUCAUACAUAAAGCAAUGUGUGGCAGUAUUAAAGUUGCUGCUUCAGAAAUGAAAGACCAGCAACAGUACACCAAGAAAACUUACAUUCCAUCGACAGGCUUUAUAGCCUGCAGAAAGAACAUUUCGAAGACAUAACGUCUAUAAAAAAGAAAAACUAGAAGAAAUAAAGCGGCAUAAUCUAGUCAUGGAAAGAUUGAAGCUUAGAGAGGUGGAAGACAAAAUUGA
This is a long non-coding RNA of Rhagoletis pomonella (apple maggot), 975 nucleotides long. RefSeq lists it as uncharacterized. The record is from RefSeq and is a predicted model, not a curated record. NCBI's taxonomy places the organism in Eukaryota, Metazoa, Arthropoda, Insecta, Diptera, Tephritidae. The transcript has 2 exons.